Long non-coding RNA from Leptopilina boulardi, 725 nucleotides. RefSeq lists it as uncharacterized. The record is from RefSeq and is a predicted model, not a curated record. The transcript has 5 exons. Lineage: Eukaryota; Metazoa; Arthropoda; Insecta; Hymenoptera; Figitidae.
GAUAAGUCAAUAAUGAAGCAAUGGCAGUGGGACCAACAGGAACAUCCUUACAAGAUCCGAAUAUAAUAUAAAUAAAGCAGCCAAGAAAACUGCCGUAUAGUCCAUACUGCAAUUUAUAAAAAAUAAUAAUAUUUGAUGCUGAAAUGGAACUUACAGAUGAAGUCGGAUGAUCCCUGUAUUUCAGGAUGAACUUUGUGUGAAUUUUGAAGUUUUUGAGAGGAUCCAUUUGCUUGAAUGAGAUUUAAACUUCCACCAGAACCACUUAGUGCAUGAUUUAUAUAUGCUCCACUGAUUUUUCCCAUUUUCUCAUCACCUACAAUAUCGACUCCCUUCAUUCUGAAAACAGAGCUUUAAUAAUACUUGUUAGCAUUUGUCAACUCAAGUUCUGAAAUGUUAUCGUGCCUCGUAAACAAGAGCACGUGCUCACAUGGAUAUAAAUGCGAGUUUACUUAAUUGUGCGUGUGUAUAUACUCAUAUUGGUCUCGUGACUAAAGUCAUGUGAGAAAUAUAUAUCAAUUUUAAUCAACAUUCUCUACAGGUGUGAGAAAGAAUUUUUGAAGACAUGGAGAAGUGAAGACGUGCAUAUAGACAAAUAUGCAUCUAUCUUUUGUAUCUAUGUACCAGAUGUUACAAGGAUCCACACGCACGUGAUAUCUAUCAAUAAGUCAAUCAAUAACAGUAUGACGCCAACCAAUCGUAUCCACUUGUACUAAUUUCAACCAAAG